UACGAAGGGGGGCUAGCGUUGUUCGGAAUUACUGGGCGUAAAGCGCACGUAGGCGGAUUGUUAAGUCGGGGGUGAAAUCCUGAGGCUCAACCUCAGAACUGCCUUCGAUACUGGCAAUCUCGAGUCCGGAAGAGGAGUGUGGAAUCCUGGUGUAGCGGUGAAAUGCGCAGAUAUCAGGAGGAACACCGAUGGCGGAAGGCAGGUCUCGUGGGCCACUACUGACGCUGAGAGCGAAAGCAUGGGGAGCGAACAGG
RNAcentral lists this ribosomal RNA (254 nucleotides) under uncultured bacterium. Its description in RNAcentral is "partial 16S ribosomal RNA". It matches the Rfam family "Bacterial small subunit ribosomal RNA", at positions 524 to 776 of the family's 1533-position model. The record is from RNAcentral.